This is a non-coding RNA of Cinara cedri, 406 nucleotides long. NCBI's taxonomy places the organism in Eukaryota, Metazoa, Arthropoda, Insecta, Hemiptera, Aphididae. The record is from the annotation of a GenBank genome assembly.
UAGAUUUUACUAUUGACUUUGCCCCUCCCCCAGUUUAUAUUUCUGCGGACGCCCUUGGACGGCGGUAAGUCGUUCGACCAACCAGGAGAAUCGCACGACUAAACACAUCGUAAAGUUGGUAAAACUGAGUCACCGUCGGCCCGGAACUACGGCCUGUACGACACUGGUCACACCGGUUUAAUAUUUUUAAUUUUUAUUGUUAUUUCGGGCAAGGGAACGCUCGUUAAAUUGUUUUCGUCAGUUAGCCGUUGCGUGUACAGGUAAUAAAUUAUGAUGUAUCUUUUGGUGUUUUUGAAGUAGGUACACGGUUUCUUUAUCUUGUUCCACUCUAAGCAUGCUGACCAAUAUUAUGUAAGAACAUAAAUGGAAUAAAGUGUAGAUGCAAUGAACGUUCGCCAAGAAGGCA